Molecule: ribosomal RNA, 458 nt
Filed under: uncultured bacterium
Lineage: Bacteria
Description: bacterial SSU rRNA
Rfam family: Bacterial small subunit ribosomal RNA
Source: RNAcentral
ACUCCUACGGGAGGCAGCAGUGGGGAAUAUUGCACAAUGGGGGAAACCCUGAUGCAGCCAUGCCGCGUGUGUGAAGAAGGCCUUCGGGUUGUAAAGCACUUUCAGUAGGGAGGAAGGUAGUGUAGUUAACACCUGCACUAUUUGACGUUACCUACAGAAGAAGCACCGGCUAACUCCGUGCCAGCAGCCGCGGUAAUACGGAGGUGCGAGCGUUAAUCGGAAUUACUGGGCGUAAAGCGCAUGCAGGCGGCCUGUUAAGUCAGAUGUGAAAGCCCGGGGCUUAACCUCGGAAUUGCAUUUGAAACUGGCAGGCUAGAGUCUUGUAGAGGGGUUAGAAUUUCGAGGUGUAGCGGUGAAAUGCGUAGAGAUCUGAAGGAAUACCAGUGGCGAAGGCGGCCCCUGGACAAAGACUGACGCUCAGAUGCGAAAGCGUGGGAGCAAACAGGAUUAGAUACCCC